CCAUCGUCAUAUAGCUAGCUCACCCGAUAGGUUUAAAUAUGCUUGACCUUUGGGAGAGGUUUAAAUUCGACCAAAAUGAGAGGAAAGAAGUCUCGACCGAUCCAUAAUAGAGGGUCUUUCAAUCCUAAGAAUAAGCAUGAACUAGGAAUUUUUUCAGCGGAAUAGAAUUAAUGAGGGGAAUGGAUGCGACAAUGAAUAAAGCAGAUCCAGGUAGGGCGCAGCAUCUUUUCCGGCGCUGUUAAGAAAGGGGUACUUAGAGCUGUAGAAAGGGUACAGGGAACCAUUGGGCGGUGUGGUAUUCCGAUUCA
Molecule: long non-coding RNA, 308 nt
Filed under: Linum usitatissimum (flax)
Lineage: Eukaryota; Viridiplantae; Streptophyta; Magnoliopsida; Malpighiales; Linaceae
Description: long non-coding RNA (LUSI_LNC006580)
Source: RNAcentral